GUGAUUUUGUUGGAGAUACGGGAAGUUCAAUCCAAGACAUUAGUUGCUAUUGGCAGAAGAAUGAGUCCAAAUUGUCAACUGGGUUUACAAUCCGAUGGGUUGGUGACUGAAAUAACUUUAGGGUUACCAACUCUCUGCCCAAUUUGGAAAAAGGCGCCAUUUAAAGGUAAAUUAGAGAAAUUACGAAUAGUGAAAAGAGAAGUAAGUGAUGAUAAUUGGCAGGAACCAUCAUCUAGUGUAAAAUUAGGAUGGGCUCUGGAAUCAUUGUUUGCUCCAAUCAGCACUUAUCGGAAUAGGGAAAUGCUAUAUCAAUUGCUAGGGCAAACAGAGAGGUUAGCACGGGUAACUAAAGAAGGAUUUAAGGAAAUAAACUUACAAUUACAGGCAACCACAAAAAUGACCCUGCAAAAUAGAAUGGCAUUGGAUAUGCUGUUACUAAAAGAACAUGGGGUAUGUGGUUAUUUACGAGAUAAGAUUGAUCAUUGUUGUGUACAUAUUCCGAAUGUUACAGCCGCAGUAGAACGUGAUUUGUCUCAGUUAACACAAAUUGAACAUGCAACUGAGGAAGAAAGAGAGGAAAGUACCCAUAAUUGGGUUGCUGCCUUAGCAAAGUCAUUUGGAUUGAACAUCUCUGGUUGGGUAGCAUCUUUAAUUCAAUGGUGUAUAAUAAUUAUAAUUAUUAUGUUAGCUAUUAUGGGAGUGUUGAGUUUGAUUCAAAACAUUGUUGUUUCGGAACGACAACGGAUGGGAAAAAUUUUGAAAGCUUUUACUAGGAAGAAUUAUGAACUACCACCACGAUAUGAAGAUCUUGGGAUAAAUUCAUCAUUUUCCCCACYGCAACCACYGCAAUUACCCAUUUAGACACCAUGAAUAGGAUGAUUGAAAAUCCUUGCAGUCUGAAAGACUUGAAGUAUUUUCAAAAGGGGGAAUUGUUACAUUAUAUUGAUUAAAAUAGGCUAUAUUUGGGAUUUUCGCAUGGAAGUAUAAUCACAGGUGCUGGGUAACUGUAUGGUCUGAUGAACUAGGUAAAUGAUAAACGAAUCUUGGCAACAGUAACUGAAGAAACCGUAAAUGGGAAACAAUCAUGUAACUUAGCAAUUCUGUUGAUUAUGUUAAGUAACCGAAUACUAUAGCAAC
This 1137-nucleotide long non-coding RNA is filed under the name Apteryx haastii (Great spotted kiwi). RNAcentral's name for it is "lncRNA (ENSAHAG00000011354.1)". The record is from RNAcentral. Lineage: Eukaryota; Metazoa; Chordata; Aves; Apterygiformes; Apterygidae.